Molecule: long non-coding RNA, 1744 nt
Organism: Manacus vitellinus (golden-collared manakin)
Lineage: Eukaryota; Metazoa; Chordata; Aves; Passeriformes; Pipridae
Source: Ensembl
CCUAGUUGUCCAUCUUCUACCUCUGCCAUUAUUCAGUUUUUAUUGAUGCAGACAGACUGGAGAGUGCCUAGAUCUGAAGGAAACCUCAUUAAAUAUUUUCUCCAGCCCUCUGGUUGACAGUGAAGCAAGUUCAUAGUUAAAGAAAUCACACAAAAGCAGGCUUUCUCAAACAGUUAGGCUUUAAGUAUAACAGUUUUUAUGCCUUCUAUCUCUGUUUAUUCCACCUUGUCAUAAUCUUUUCCGGAUUAUCACCACAUGCUGUCUAAUUAGAAAAGUCUUCUUAGAGAAUUGUUUUAUCUUCAUUUUUCCAGGAAAAAUCCUAUGUCAUGGCCCUUCUUAAAUAAUACAGGAUUGAAAAACCAAGAGGAAGAUGAUCAAGGAGUUGCAUUGGUUUGACUCAAUCAAAUUAUUUUAGUCAGUGCGGGUACCAUUUGUGGGCAUUAUCCUAAGUCAUAAACAGCUGAAGAUAAUUCAGUCCAUUAUCUGUUGUUAAUUUAAUUUCAGAUUGUCAGUUUAGCUAAAUCAGUACAACCAGUCAGAGUAAAGAGAGUGAGUGGAUAGACACAAAUCUUGGCAUGAGGAUCAUUGUUGAGAUUCUGAAGGUAAAUAAAUGCAUAAAGAAUUAAUCUUUUCCCAUUCAGUCAAUGACGAAAGCUACACUGAUCAAAAUGGAAAGAAUGGCAGAAAAAACAACAGUGGAUUAGAACAAUUGUGCAAAGGCAGAUCUCCUUCUCAAUCAUUGGCUUUGGGAACAGCUCGUUGCCUAAAGGGCUUUGGAGGGCAGAUCCUGGGAUCAGAGGAAUCUCUUUCCAAGUGGCUGAAGAACUGGACAGAAAUCAGGGACAUGUGUGGUGAAAGGAGGACUGAGGAGGGAGGGAAGCCUUUUGUAUGUGUGUUAUUCUUUUCAUAGGGAGAAAAAAAAAAGAUGACACUAAAGGAUAAGAUGCUUGAGAAGAAAAACUAAAGCAUGGGAAUGGACAUGCUUUAGGGCAGAACAGAAAGGAGGGAGCGUAGCAAGAAGAUACGGAAGAGAACAAGACUACUGAAAGGGCAUCCAUGUAGAAAACAGUCACCCAGGACAAGAGGUAGAUUGCAUCUCAUGGAUGAGUAAAUACAGAAAUCACAGAUUUGAACAAACUGGUACAUCAUGAAUGUAGCUCUUAAUUUGUGGAAAUUUGUGGAAUAACUUUACUAGACUUCUCUGUUGGUUUUAUCUUCAACAGCUAAGAAAUUUGUGGCAUACCAGCUGAACCUUAACCAAGAGAUCUGAUUUAAAACUCAAAAUGGCUUUAAUGAAGGGAGGAGAGGGAAUACUGGGUGUAUGUGUGUGGUUCCUUAAGUGUGUAGUUGCCUGUGUUCCAUGAUUGUGUCUUGUGGUUUCAUUACAGAGCGCUAAAGUAUGAUCCAGUAGAGGAGGUAGAUCAAGAAGAGUUUAAGGCUUUUCUAGAUAGCUUAACUCUUUCUUAAAGGUGGUCACUUACUGUGUAGAAACCUUCAGAGCUUGCAUUCCACUGGUGAAGGGAGAAUGUUAAUAGCCAGACUACUAAGUUUCAGAUUUAACAGCAGUUUUGCCUCUGUUAGUUCCUUUAAACUUUGGCCAUUCAGUCCUCUGCUGUAGAUGUUACUGGGAGAUCCAAGCUCAAACAGAAAUACCUGGGCUGUGAAGCUGUGCUGGCCAGUGCACCAAGGCUACAACAGAGAAACAAACUCACUCUCUCUCUUUUUUUAUUUUUUUCUUUUCAGU